Molecule: ribosomal RNA, 125 nt
Filed under: uncultured bacterium
Lineage: Bacteria
Description: partial 16S ribosomal RNA
Source: RNAcentral
GAAUUCACUAGUGAUUCAGGCCUAACACAUGCAAGUCGAGCGGUAGAGAGAAGCUUGCUUCUCUUGAGAAAAGCGGACGGGUGAGUAAUGCCUAGGAAUCUGCCUGGUAGUGGGGGAUCUCGUUC